CACGGAGGCCCCGAGCGUUGUUCGGAUUUACUGGGUGUAAAGCGUGCGUAGGCGGUUAGGUAAGUCAGAUGUGAAAGCCCGGGGCUCAACCCCGGAACUGCAUCCGAUACUGCCUGACUCGAGGGUUGGAGAGGAGACUGGAAUUCACGGUGUAGCAGUGAAAUGCGUGGAUAUCGUGAGGAAGACCAGUUGCGAAGGCGACUCUCUGGGCAGUUCCUGACACUGAGGGACGAAAGCUAGGGGAGCGAAUGGG
RNAcentral lists this ribosomal RNA (253 nucleotides) under uncultured bacterium. RNAcentral's name for it is "partial 16S ribosomal RNA". It matches the Rfam family "Bacterial small subunit ribosomal RNA", at positions 524 to 776 of the family's 1533-position model. The record is from RNAcentral.